CCUACGGGUGGCUGCAGUGGGGAAUAUUGGACAAUGGGGGCAACCCUGAUCCAGCCAUGCCGCGUGUGUGAAGAAGGCCCUCGGGUUGUAAAGCACUUUCAGUGAGGAAGAACGCCUGGUGGUUAAUACCCAUCAGGAAAGACAUCACUCACAGAAGAAGCACCGGCUAACUCCGUGCCAGCAGCCGCGGUAAUACGGAGGGUGCGAGCGUUAAUCGGAAUUACUGGGCGUAAAGCGCGCGUAGGUGGCUUGAUAAGCCGGUUGUGAAAGCCCCGGGCUCAACCUGGGAACGGCAUCCGGAACUGUCAAGCUAGAGUGCAGGAGAGGAAGGUAGAAUUCCCGGUGUAGCGGUGAAAUGCGUAGAGAUCGGGAGGAAUACCAGUGGCGAAGGCGGCCUUCUGGACUGACACUGACACUGAGGUGCGAAAGCGUGGGUAGCAAACAGGAUUAGAUCCCUGGUAGUC
This 464-nucleotide ribosomal RNA is filed under the name Vreelandella stevensii. Its description in RNAcentral is "partial 16S ribosomal RNA". It matches the Rfam family "Bacterial small subunit ribosomal RNA", at positions 338 to 795 of the family's 1533-position model. Lineage: Bacteria; Pseudomonadati; Pseudomonadota; Gammaproteobacteria; Oceanospirillales; Halomonadaceae. The record is from RNAcentral.